GUACUUGUACCGACUGGAUGAGCAGCGAACGGGUGAGUAACGCGUGGGGAAUCUGCCUUUGAGCGGGGGACAACAUUUGGAAACGAAUGCUAAUACCGCAUAAAAACUUUAAACACAAGUUUUAAGUUUGAAAGAUGCAAUUGCAUCACUCAAAGAUGAUCCCGCGUUGUAUUAGCUAGUUGGUGAGGUAAAGGCUCACCAAGGCGAUGAUACAUAGCCGACCUGAGAGGGUGAUCGGCCACAUUGGGACUGAGACACGGCCCAAACUCCUACGGGAGGCAGCAGUAGGGAAUCUUCGGCAAUGGACGAAAGUCUGACCGAGCAACGCCGCGUGAGUGAAGAAGGUUUUCGGAUCGUAAAACUCUGUUGGUAGAGAAGAACGUUGGUGAGAGUGGAAAGCUCAUCAAGUGACGGUAACUACCCAGAAAGGGACGGCUAACUACGUGCCAGCAGCCGCGGUAAUACGUAGGUCCCGAGCGUUGUCCGGAUUUAUUGGGCGUAAAGCGAGCGCAGGUGGUUUAUUAAGUCUGGUGUAAAAGGCAGUGGCUCAACCAUUGUAUGCAUUGGAAACUGGUAGACUUGAGUGCAGGAGAGGAGAGUGGAAUUCCAUGGUUUAGGGG
Molecule: ribosomal RNA, 620 nt
Filed under: Lactococcus lactis
Lineage: Bacteria; Bacillati; Bacillota; Bacilli; Lactobacillales; Streptococcaceae
Description: bacterial SSU rRNA
Rfam family: Bacterial small subunit ribosomal RNA
Source: RNAcentral